Molecule: ribosomal RNA, 484 nt
Filed under: uncultured bacterium
Lineage: Bacteria
Description: partial 16S ribosomal RNA
Rfam family: Bacterial small subunit ribosomal RNA
Source: RNAcentral
AUUGAACGCUGGCGGCAGGCCUAACACAUGCAAGUCGAGCGGAUGAAGGGAGCUUGCUCCUUGAUUCAGCGGCGGACGGGUGAGUAAUGCCUAGGAAUCUGCCUGGUAGUGGGGGAUAACGUCCGGAAACGGGCGCUAAUACCGCAUACGUCCUGAGGGAGAAAGUGGGGGAUCUUCGGACCUCACGCUAUCAGAUGAGCCUAGGUCGGAUUAGCUAGUUGGUGGGGUAAAGGCCUACCAAGGCGACGAUCCGUAACUGGUCUGAGAGGAUGAUCAGUCACACUGGAACUGAGACACGGUCCAGACUCCUACGGGAGGCAGCAGUGGGGAAUAUUGGGCAAUGGGCGAAAGCCUGAUGCAGCCAUGCCGCGUGUGUGAAGAAGGUCUUCGGAUUGUAAAGCACUUUAAGUUGGGAGGAAGGGCAGUAAGUUAAUACCUUGCUGUUUUGACGUUACCAACAGAAUAAGCACCGGCUAACUUCGUG